AUACCAGCACCCCGAGUGGUCGGGACGAUUAUUGGGCCUAAAGCAUCCGUAGCCGGUGUAGCAAGUCCUCCGUUAAAUCCACUUGCUCAACAAGUGGGCUGCGGAGGAUACUGCUACACUAGGGGGCGGGAGAGGCGAGGGGUAUUCCACGGGUAGGGGUAAAAUCCUCUGAUCCGUGGAGGACCACCAGUGGCGAAGGCGCCUCGCCAGAACGCGCCCGACGGUGAGGGAUGAAAGCUGGGGGAGCAAACCGGAUUAGAAACCCCUGGUAGUCC
RNAcentral lists this ribosomal RNA (275 nucleotides) under uncultured bacterium. RNAcentral's name for it is "partial 16S ribosomal RNA". It matches the Rfam family "Archaeal small subunit ribosomal RNA", at positions 473 to 747 of the family's 1478-position model. The record is from RNAcentral.